GAUGAACGCUCGCUACAGGCUUAACACAUGCAAGUCGCGGGGCAGCAUGGGGGUUGCUUGCAAUCCCCGAUGGCGACCGGCGCACGGGUGAGUAACGCGUAUCCAACCUGCCCUUCACCACGGGAUAACCCGGCGAAAGUCGGACUAAUACCGUAUGUUGUCCAUUGACGGCAUCCGAUUUGGACGAAAGGUUUGGCGGUGAAGGAUGGGGAUGCGUCCGAUUAGCUGGACGGCGGGGUGACGGCCCACCGUGGCGACGAUCGGUAGGGGUUCUGAGAGGAAGGUUCCCCACACUGGAACUGAGACACGGUCCAGACUCCUACGGGAGGCAGCAGUGAGGAAUAUUGGUCAAUGGGCGUAAGCCUGAACCAGCCAAGUAGCGUGCAGGAUGACGGCCCUAUGGGUUGUAAACUGCUUUUAUGCGGGGAUAAAGUGGCCCACGUGUGGGUUUUUGCAGGUACCGCAUGAAUAAGGACCGGCUAAUUCCGUG
This 490-nucleotide ribosomal RNA is filed under the name uncultured bacterium. RNAcentral's name for it is "partial 16S ribosomal RNA". It matches the Rfam family "Bacterial small subunit ribosomal RNA", at positions 28 to 507 of the family's 1533-position model. The record is from RNAcentral.